CAAGAGGUGUUUUGAACACCAAGAACUG
RNAcentral lists this transfer RNA (28 nucleotides) under Phrynosoma hernandesi. RNAcentral describes it as "partial tRNA-Ser". The record is from RNAcentral. Lineage: Eukaryota; Metazoa; Chordata; Lepidosauria; Squamata; Phrynosomatidae.